GAAUUUGCUAACUUUCUCAAUCAAUUUGAAUUUUUUGACUGUAGGUAUCUAAACUUAUUAAAAACGCACAACAUUUUUCUAUUUUCUCCUGCUGAAUGAUGGUGCUGGAGAAUUCACAAGAACAAGAACAGUUCACAGGGUAAGAAAGAGAAGAAAAUAACCAUAAGGGCAUAAACGUACACUGAACAUUCCUCUACUCAAAACUCAACUAGGAUGCGCGUCAAGCAGCAGGCAGGCAGGACCCUCCGGUGACGGUCACGGGAGAUCGAGAUGGAAAGAAGAUUUUUCUUCCUACAACAAAAAGAAGAAAAUAUGAUGACGAUGGAUGCUGUCGCUGUUCAGGCAAAUAGUUUUCCACUUCAACAUCCAACUUUCACCUGCAGUUUUUGUUUUAACGUUUCGUUUUUUGAUUUAUGCAAAUAAACUUGAAUUAUUACCGUUA
Molecule: long non-coding RNA, 442 nt
Organism: Eupeodes corollae
Lineage: Eukaryota; Metazoa; Arthropoda; Insecta; Diptera; Syrphidae
Exons: 2
Source: RefSeq, a predicted model, not a curated record